UGGGAUAACACCUGGAAACAGAUGCUAAUACCGGAUAACAACACUAGACGCAUGUCUAGAGUUUGAAAGAUGGUUCUGCUAUCACUCUUGGAUGGACCUGCGGUGCAUUAGCUAGUUGGUAAGGUAACGGCUUACCAAGGCAAUGAUGCAUAGCCGAGUUGAGAGACUGAUCGGCCACAUUGGGACUGAGACACGGCCCAAACUCCUACGGGAGGCAGCAGUAGGGAAUCUUCCACAAUGGACGAAAGUCUGAUGGAGCAACGCCGCGUGAGUGAAGAAGGGUUUCGGCUCGUAAAGCUCUGUUGGUAGUGAAGAAAGAUAGAGGUAGUAACUGGCCUUUAUUUGACGGUAAUUACUUAGAAAGUCACGGCUAACUACGUGCCAGCAGCCGCGGUAAUACGUAGGUGGCAAGCGUUGUCCGGAUUUAUUGGGCGUAAAGCGAGUGCAGGCGGUUCAAUAAGUCUGAUGUGAAAGCCUUCGGCUCAGGCGGAGAAUUGCAUCAGAAACUGUUGAACUUGAGUGCAGAAGAGGAGAGUGGAACUCCAUGUGUAGCGGUGGAAUGCGUAGAUAUAUGGAAGAACACCAGUGGCGAAGGCGGCUCUCUGGUCUGCAACUGACGCUGAGGCUCGAAAGCAUGGGUAGCGAACAGGAUUAGAUACCCUGGUAGUCCAUGCCGUAAACGAUGAG
RNAcentral lists this ribosomal RNA (687 nucleotides) under uncultured bacterium. RNAcentral describes it as "bacterial SSU rRNA". It matches the Rfam family "Bacterial small subunit ribosomal RNA", at positions 139 to 813 of the family's 1533-position model. The record is from RNAcentral.